This 217-nucleotide ribosomal RNA is filed under the name uncultured Paracoccaceae bacterium. RNAcentral describes it as "uncultured Rhodobacteraceae bacterium partial 16S ribosomal RNA". It matches the Rfam family "Bacterial small subunit ribosomal RNA", at positions 29 to 273 of the family's 1533-position model. The record is from RNAcentral. Lineage: Bacteria; Pseudomonadati; Pseudomonadota; Alphaproteobacteria; Rhodobacterales; Paracoccaceae.
AACGAACGCUGGCGGCAGGCCUAACACAUGCAAGUCGAGCGCUCUCUUCGGAGGGAGCGGCGGACGGGUGAGUAACGCGUGGGAACGUACCCUUCUCUACGGAAUAGCCUCGGGAAACUGAGAGUAAUACCGUAUACGCCCUUAGGGGGAAAGAUUUAUCGGAGAAGGAUCGGCCCGCGUUGGAUUAGGUAGUUGGUGGGGUAAUGGCCUACCAAGC